CUAUGGCUGCGUGGGACCUUGGUGGUAGUAGUCAAGCGAUGGGGUGACGCAGGAAGGUAGCAGGGCCAAGCGAUGGUUGUCUUGGUGUAAGCCGGUAGGGCGGAACAUAGGUAAAUCCGUGUUCCAUGAUGCCUGAGAGGUGAUGCGUAGCCGUUGAGGCGAAUUCUGUGAUCCUAUGCUGCCGAGAAAAGCCUCUAGUGAGUUGGUACACGGCCCGUACCCCAAACCGACACAGGUGGUCAGGUAGAGAAUACUAAGGCGAUCGAGAGAACUGUGGUUAAGGAACUCGGCAAAUUGCCCCCGUAACUUCGGGAGAAGGGGGACCAUGUCUGGUGAUGGCACUUGCUGCCUGAGCUGGGUGUGGUCGCAGAGACCAGAGAGAAGCGACUGUUUACUAAAAACACAGGUCCGUGCGAAGUCGUAAGACGAUGUAUACGGACUGACGCCUGCCCGGUGCUGGAAGGUUAAGAGGACCGGUUAGUCACCCUUGUGGUGGCGAAGCUGAGAAUUUAAGCCCCAGUAAACGGCGGUGGUAACUAUAACCAUCCUAAGGUAGCGAAAUUCCUUGUCGGGUAAGUUCCGACCUGCACGAAUGGCGUAACGACUUCUCUGCUGUCUCAACCACAGACUCGGCGAAAUUGCAGUACGAGUAAAGAUGCUCAUUACGCGCGGCAGGACGAAAAGACCCCGGGACCUUCACUAUAGCUUGGUAUUGGUGUUCGGUACGGUUUGUGUAGGAUAGGUGGGAGACUGUGAAGUGGGCACGCCAGUGUUCAUGGAGUCAUUGUUGAAAUACCACUCUGAUCGUAUUGGGCUUCUAACCUCGGACCCUGAUCGGGUUCAGGGACAGUGCCUGGUGGGUAGUUUAACUGGGGCGGUUGCCUCCUAAAAUGUAACGGAGGCGCCCAAAGGUUCCCUCAGCCUGGAUGGCAAUCAGGUGUUGAGUGUAAGUGCACAAGGGAGCUUGACUGUGAGACGUACAUGUCGAGCAGGGACGAAAGUCGGGACUAGUGAUCCGGCACCGGCAAGUGGAAGCGGUGUCGCUCAACGGAUAAAAGGUACCCCGGGGAUAACAGGCUGAUCUUCCCCAAGAGUCCAUAUCGACGGGAUGGUUUGGCACCUCGAUGUCGGCUCGUUGCAUCCUGGGGCUGGAGUAGGUCCCAAGGGUUGGGCUGUUCGCCCAUUAAAGCGGCACGCGAGCUGGGUUUAGAACGUCGUGAGACAGUUCGGUCUCUAUCCGCCGCGCGCGUCUAGAAACUUGAGGAAACCUGUCCCUAGUACGAGAGGACCGGGACGGACGAACCUCUGGUGUGCCAGUUGUUCCGCCAGGAGCACCGCUGGUUAGCUACGUUCGGAAGGGAUAACCGCUGAAAGCAUCUAAGCGGGAAGCCUGUUCCAAGAUGAGGUUUCUCACCCACCAUUGGUGGGGUAAGGCCCCCCACAGACUAUGGGGUUGAUAGGCCAGAACUGUACGCACAGCAAUGUGUUCAGGUGACUGGUACUAAUCGGCCGAGGACUUACC
RNAcentral lists this ribosomal RNA (1522 nucleotides) under metagenome. RNAcentral describes it as "bacterial LSU rRNA". It matches the Rfam family "Bacterial large subunit ribosomal RNA", at positions 1427 to 2925 of the family's 2925-position model. The record is from RNAcentral.